GCGUGUGUGAAGAAGGCCUGCGGGUUGUAAAGCACUUUCAAUUGGGAAGAAAAGCUUGGGGCUAAUACCCUCGAGUCUUGACGUUACCUUUAGAAGAAGCACCGGCUAACUCCGUGCCAGCAGCCGCGGUAAUACGGAGGGUGCAAGCGUUAAUCGGAAUUACUGGGCGUAAAGCGCGCGUAGGUGGUUUGGUCAGUCAGAUGUGAAAGCCCUGGGCUUAACCUGGGAAUUGCAUUUGAUACUGCCAGACUAGAGUAUGGUAGAGGGAAGUGGAAUUCCGGGUGUAGCGGUGAAAUGCGU
RNAcentral lists this ribosomal RNA (300 nucleotides) under uncultured bacterium. RNAcentral describes it as "bacterial SSU rRNA". It matches the Rfam family "Bacterial small subunit ribosomal RNA", at positions 399 to 691 of the family's 1533-position model. The record is from RNAcentral.